CAACAGCGUAUAUUAAAGUUGUUGCAGUUAAAACGCUCGUAGUCGGAUUUCGGGGCGGUCUGUCCGGUCUGCCGAUGGGUAUGCACUGGUUGGGCCGUCCUUCCUUCCGGAGACCGUGCGUGCUCUUAACUGAGUGCGCUCGGGAGACGGAUCGUUUACUUUGAAAAAAUCAGAGUGUUUCAAGCAGGCAGCUCGCUCUUGCAUGGAUUAGCAUGGGAUAAUGAAAUAGGACUUUGGUGCUAUUUUGUUGGUUUCGAACACCGAAGUAAUGAUUAACAGGGACAGUCAGGGGCACUCGUAUUCCGCCGAGAGAGGUGAAAUUCUCAGACCAGCGGAAGACGAACCACUGCGAAANCANNNGCCAGGGAUGUUUUCACNGA
This 380-nucleotide ribosomal RNA is filed under the name uncultured eukaryote. RNAcentral describes it as "partial 18S ribosomal RNA". It matches the Rfam family "Eukaryotic small subunit ribosomal RNA", at positions 592 to 976 of the family's 1831-position model. The record is from RNAcentral.